GGGAAUGUGGCUUAGUGGCAAAGUGCUUGCCUCGCAUGCAUGAAACCUAGGUUCAGUUCCUCAGUACCCC
Non-coding RNA from Dipodomys ordii (Ord's kangaroo rat), 70 nucleotides. NCBI's taxonomy places the organism in Eukaryota, Metazoa, Chordata, Mammalia, Rodentia, Heteromyidae. The record is from Rfam.